This 953-nucleotide ribosomal RNA is filed under the name Campylobacter jejuni. Its description in RNAcentral is "partial 23S ribosomal RNA". It matches the Rfam family "Bacterial large subunit ribosomal RNA", at positions 1 to 966 of the family's 2925-position model. Lineage: Bacteria; Pseudomonadati; Campylobacterota; Epsilonproteobacteria; Campylobacterales; Campylobacteraceae. The record is from RNAcentral.
UAAAAAAAGGUAAGCUACUAAGAGCGAAUGGUGGAUGCCUUGACUGGUAAAGGCGAUGAAGGACGUACUAGACUGCGAUAAGCUACGGGGAGCUGUCAAGAAGCUUUGAUCCGUAGAUUUCCGAAUGGGGCAACCCAAUGUAUAGAGAUAUACAUUACCUAUAUAGGAGCGAACGAGGGGAAUUGAAACAUCUUAGUACCCUCAGGAAAAGAAAUCAAUAGAGAUUGCGUCAGUAGCGGCGAGCGAAAGCGCAAGAGGGCAAACCCAGUGCUUGCACUGGGGGUUGUAGGACUGCAAUGUGCAAGAGGUAAGUUUAGCAGAACAUUCUGGAAAGUAUAACCAUAGAGGGUGAUAGUCCCGUAUGCGAAAAACAAACCUUAGCUAGCAGUAUCCUGAGUAGGGCGGGACACGAGGAAUCCUGUCUGAAUCCGGGUCGACCACGAUCCAACCCUAAAUACUAAUACCAGAUCGAUAGUGCACAAGUACCGUGAGGGAAAGGUGAAAAGAACUGAGGUGAUCAGAGUGAAAUAGAACCUGAAACCAUUUGCUUACAAUCAUUCAGAGCCCUAUGUAGCAAUACAGGGUGAUGGACUGCCUUUUGCAUAAUGAGCCUGCGAGUUGUGGUGUCUGGCAAGGUUAAGCAAACGCGAAGCCGUAGCGAAAGCGAGUCUGAAUAGGGCGCUUAGUCAGAUGCUGCAGACCCGAAACGAAGUGAUCUAUCCAUGAGCAAGUUGAAGCUAGUGUAAGAACUAGUGGAGGACUGAACCCAUAGGCGUUGAAAAGCCCCGGGAUGACUUGUGGAUAGGGGUGAAAGGCCAAUCAAACUUCGUGAUAGCUGGUUCUCUCCGAAAUAUAUUUAGGUAUAGCGUUGUGUCGUAAUAUAAGGGGGUAGAGCACUGAAUGGGCUAGGGCAUACACCAAUGUACCAAACCCUAUCAAACUCCGAAUACCUU